Molecule: transfer RNA, 67 nt
Filed under: Limnephilus hyalinus
Lineage: Eukaryota; Metazoa; Arthropoda; Insecta; Trichoptera; Limnephilidae
Description: tRNA-Gly
Source: RNAcentral
UAAUUUAUAUAAUAUAAUUAGUAUAUUUAACUUCCAAUUAAAAAGAUUAACCUUGUUAAUAUAAAUA